This 253-nucleotide ribosomal RNA is filed under the name uncultured bacterium. Its description in RNAcentral is "partial 16S ribosomal RNA". It matches the Rfam family "Bacterial small subunit ribosomal RNA", at positions 524 to 776 of the family's 1533-position model. The record is from RNAcentral.
UACGAAGGGAGCUAGCGUUGUUCGGAAUUACUGGGCGUAAAGGGCGCGUAGGCGGCCUUGUAAGUUAGAUGUGAAAGCCCCGGGCUUAACCUGGGAACUGCAUUUAAGACUGCAAAGCUAGAGGACGAGAGAGGAAAGUGGAAUUAUGAGUGUAGAGGUGAAAUUCGUAGAUAUUCAUAAGAACACCAGUGGCGAAGGCGACUUUCUGGCUCGUAUCUGACGCUAAGGCGCGAAAGCGUGGGGAGCAAACAGG